Molecule: long non-coding RNA, 1955 nt
Filed under: Prunus dulcis (almond)
Lineage: Eukaryota; Viridiplantae; Streptophyta; Magnoliopsida; Rosales; Rosaceae
Description: sRNA ncRNA
Source: RNAcentral
ACCACUUCACCACACAAACCCACUGCACAACAAGUUCCACAAUGAUGGAAUCCAUUUCUUGGGUUGCAUACGCUGCCGCAUGGCUGGGAGCACUCGCUCUCAUCCUCCUCUCCCGCCGCCUCCGCCACCGCAAGCUCAAUUUGCCGCCCGGUCCAAAACCCUGGCCCAUCAUUGGAAACCUCAACCUCAUAAACCAACUUCCCCACCGGUCUAUCCAUGCACUCGCCCAAAAAUAUGGGCCCAUCAUGCAGCUCAAGUUUGGGUCCCAUCCGGUCGUCGUGGGCUCUUCAGUUGACAUGGCUAAGGCCUUCCUGAAAACCCACGACGUUAUCUUCGCCGGACGACCCAAAUUCGCAGCCGGUAAGCACACCACAUACAACUACUCGGACAUUACUUGGUCCCCUUACGGCUCAUAUUGGCGCCAGGCCCGUAAAAUGUGCGUAAUGGAGCUUUUCAGUGCCAGACGCCUAGAAUCAUAUGAAUAUAUCAGAAAGGAGGAAAUGAACGCAUUGCUCAGAGGCUUAUUUGAGUCCUCCAACACCAACAUUUUGCUGAAAGAUCACCUUUCAACUGUGAGUCUUAAUGUUAUAAGCCGCAUGGUGCUCGGAAAGAAGUACACGGACGAGUCGAAAGACUCGAUCGUGAGCCCCGAUGAGUUCAAGAAGAUGUUGGAUGAGCUCUUCUUGCUGAGCGGGGUGUUGAAUAUUGGUGACUCAAUACCGUGGCUUGAUUUCUUGGACUUGCAAGGGUACAUAAAGAGAAUGAAGACUUUGAGCAAGAAGUUGGAUAGGUUCUUGGAGCAUGUGUUGGAUGUACAUAUUGCAAAGAGGAAGGCAGGUGGUGAAGACUUUGUUGCAAAAGAUAUGGUUGAUGUGCUUCUGCAACUUGCUGAUGAUCCUAACCUUGAAGUUAAGCUUGAAAGACAUGGAAUAAAGGCCUUUACCCAGGUAUGAUUGAUUCAUUUAUGCAAUAAUGAUAGAAGCAGUAAAAUUUUCCCAAACUCUACUCUUGAGUCAAUGACAGCGAGCGAGUCUUAUAUGCAUUAACGGCUCACAAUUACUCGCUUAUUUGGGAUUUGAAAACUUUUUGGUUUACUUUGGUUUUACUUAUCUUACUCACGCUUUUGUUGAUUGAUGGAUUCUAUUAGGACCUAAUUGCCGGUGGAACUGAGAGCUCAGCGGUGACCGUCGAAUGGGCAAUUUCAGAGCUGCUAAGGAAGCCGGAGGUUUUCAAGAAGGCAACAGAGGAGCUAGACAGGGUGAUUGGAAGAGAGAGAUGGGUUGAAGAGAAUGACAUUGUCAACUUACCCUAUGUUGAUGCCAUUGCCAAGGAAACCAUGAGGCUGCACCCAGUGGCACCCAUGUUGGUGCCAAGACUAUCCCGAGAAGACUGCCAAGUUGCUGGCUAUGACAUCCCCAAGGGCACCAGAAUCCUAGUAAGUGUCUGGACCAUAGGAAGAGACCCUCAACUUUGGGACAACCCAGAAGAGUUUUGCCCUGAGAGGUUCCUUGGCAAGGACAUUGAUGUCAAAGGCCAGGACUUUGAGCUGCUCCCAUUUGGGUCAGGCAGGAGGAUGUGCCCUGGCUACAGCCUUGGCAUCAAGGUGAUCCAGGCAAGCCUGGCCAAUCUCCUACACGGGUUUACAUGGAGAUUGCCCGACACCUUGAAGGAGGAGGAUUUGAACAUGGAGGAAAUUUUUGGGCUUUCAACUCCAAAGAAGUAUCCUCUUGUUGCAGUCUGUGAACCUCGUCUUCCACCUCACGUUUACACACUCUGAUUUUUGUCUUAGUUUCAGUUACUUCUCUUCUUCCCUCUGAAUAAUUACUAUUGGGAUGCUAAGUUUUUUACUACAAAAUAAAUUAGCACACUAUUGUAAAAUUGCGAUGUGUGUGAUCAAAAUCCAGAGGCUCUUAUUGUAAUUUCCUGUUCUUCUCCACUUUUCUCCUCCUCUGUGG